RNAcentral lists this transfer RNA (88 nucleotides) under Alphaproteobacteria bacterium. Its description in RNAcentral is "tRNA-Ile". The stretch from base 1 to 71 matches the Rfam family "tRNA". From Rfam's summary of the family: Transfer RNA (tRNA) molecules are approximately 80 nucleotides in length. Their secondary structure includes four short double-helical elements and three loops (D, anti-codon, and T loops). The record is from RNAcentral. Lineage: Bacteria; Pseudomonadati; Pseudomonadota; Alphaproteobacteria.
CCUCCUGUAGCUCAGUGGCAGAGCAGCGGCCCGAUAAGCCGCCGAUACACGUUCGAUCCGUGUCCGACGGUCCGUGUCGGGCGUACCA